CGAUUACGGCCGGCCGGCGCGGGGCGGCGCCCGGAGCGGCCGCGAGGCCGGGGACCCGGCUGGGGAAGGCGCCGAGAGACCCGGUCCGGGACGGGGAGAGGCCCGAGACCCCCCACCUCCACGUACGCGAGGCCACCAACGGCUGGGGCCGAACCCACGCUCGCGGCGACCGGCGUUGCAGCCGCCUAGGAGCCAGUGGCGAGGCCGCCGCCCCCUCUGGGAAUCCGAGAGGCGCCGGCUAGAGCGUCCGCGGAGCCGCCAUCUCAGCUUUGACAGGUGAUCACUCGUCUCCCCAUUUCCGUUUCGAAAAUGAGUUCCAGAGAAGGCUGCUGGGAUCAUCCGACGAUGCCUUGAAGGAGAAAUGACAUCUUAACUCAUUCUCAAGAUGCCAGUCACGUGGCCGUGGCCAGGACUUCGGGGCGGCGGGCCGAGGACGACCAAGUGCUUUUGGAAAUGACUCCCCUGUCGGAUCAGCACAUUGCUCCCCUUGAAGCACAAAGGCUUAGGGGAGUCGUGUGCAAUCAGGCUGCCGUGUCCCCUGCCCCGCCCCCCUCCUCGGCCCCAGCUGUCCAGCCCAUCCUGUAUGAUCAGCGCUUACAUUAACGAGGCUGUGUCUG
Molecule: long non-coding RNA, 617 nt
Organism: Suricata suricatta (meerkat)
Lineage: Eukaryota; Metazoa; Chordata; Mammalia; Carnivora; Herpestidae
Exons: 2
Source: RefSeq, a predicted model, not a curated record